GACGAACGCUGGCGGCGUGCUUAACACAUGCAAGUCGAACGGAAAGGCCCUGCUGUUGUGGGGUGCUCGAGUGGCGAACGGGUGGGUAACACGUGAGUAACCUGCCCUUGACUUGGGGAUAACUUCAGGAAACUGGGGCUACUACCGGAUGGGAGCGCCUGCUGCAUGGUGGGGGUUGGAAAGUUUCGGCGGUUGGGGAUGGACUCGCGGCUUAUCAGCUUGUUGGUGGGGUAGUGGCUUACCAAGGCCUUGACGGGUAGCCGGCCUGAGAGGGUGACCGGCCACAUUGGGACUGAGAUACGGACCAGACUCCUACGGGAGGCAGCGGUGGGGAAUAUUGCACAAUCGGCGGAAGCCUGAUGCAGCAACGCCGCGUUCGGGAUGACGGCCUUGGGGUGGUAAACCGCUUUCGGCUGUGACGAAGCGUGAGUGACGGUAAUGGGUAAAGAAGCACCGGCUAACUACGUG
RNAcentral lists this ribosomal RNA (468 nucleotides) under uncultured bacterium. Its description in RNAcentral is "partial 16S ribosomal RNA". It matches the Rfam family "Bacterial small subunit ribosomal RNA", at positions 28 to 507 of the family's 1533-position model. The record is from RNAcentral.